CAAAAGAAGGUUCAAAAGGGACUAUGUGAAUCUGCAAAAGAGAAAAAAACAUUGCUAACAAUUUAGAAGAUUUACGAUUUAGAGAAUCGGGAUGUCAACAAAAUCAAGAAAAAUUAGAGAAAAUUCAGAGAUUCAAUCAACAAAAGUGAGAACAAGACACAAAAAAGAGGCAAGCAAAACCUUCUAGUUUAGCCCCAUCUUUUUUAAACCCUAAACUCGAAACUGAAAUUUACCAUUAGAAAAGUGGAAACAAGAUGGAGAAUUCCAAGUAUAACUUUCAAAAUCUUACCCAGAAAAAGAUUCGGCGGCUGCAGAGAGACGUGUGAAGGAUGAAAUUUGUUUUGGGUUUAGGAGAAAUAGCCUGAUGUCAAGAGAGAGAGAAAAGGAGCACCGGCGUGUAUUUCCGUUAAUUCAGAAACUCCUUGAGGCUAUUCCAGUCAUUUUACUUUCCCUAUUCCGGGCAGACGAGCAUGAACGCAUAGAAUAUCAACGCAAACAGUAUUCACAAACUCGAAGAAAGAGCAAUUGGAGAAAAGAAAAAAAGAAAGAAGAGCAAAUCUCUCUUGAGAAAAACCAAUUCAGUUUCAGCGUCUUCAACUCUCUCUUCCAACAAUUAGUUCCGAUUUUUAGGAGUUUCUUUUCCCACAAAUUCUUGUUAAAGUUUCCUUUUCUAUUUUUACACUUUCCCCAUUUUUUUUUGGGAAAGAAUUCAUUCAGAUCUGCACAUAUUUGUUGUGUAUUUUCGGUAUUUUUAACCUCAAUUGACCGAAUCAGA
Molecule: long non-coding RNA, 775 nt
Filed under: Nicotiana tabacum (common tobacco)
Lineage: Eukaryota; Viridiplantae; Streptophyta; Magnoliopsida; Solanales; Solanaceae
Description: long non-coding RNA (NTAB_LNC011782)
Source: RNAcentral